This 260-nucleotide ribosomal RNA is filed under the name uncultured bacterium. RNAcentral describes it as "partial 16S ribosomal RNA". It matches the Rfam family "Bacterial small subunit ribosomal RNA", at positions 73 to 334 of the family's 1533-position model. The record is from RNAcentral.
UCUUGCAAACUAAAGAUGGCGACCGGCGCACGGGUGAGUAACACGUAUCCAACCUGCCGAUAACUCGGGGAUAGCCUUUCGAAAGAAAGAUUAAUAUCCGAUAGUAUAUUAAAACCGCAUGGUUUUACUAUUAAAGAAUUUCGGUUAUCGAUGGGGAUGCGUUCCAUUAGUUUGUUGGCGGGGUAACGGCCCACCUAGUCUUCGAUGGAUAGGGGUUCUGAGAGGAAGGUCCCCCACAUUGGAACUGAGACACGGUCCAA